This 482-nucleotide ribosomal RNA is filed under the name uncultured bacterium. RNAcentral describes it as "partial 16S ribosomal RNA". It matches the Rfam family "Bacterial small subunit ribosomal RNA", at positions 28 to 507 of the family's 1533-position model. The record is from RNAcentral.
GACGAACGCUGGCGGCGUGCUUAACACAUGCAAGUCGAACGCUGAAGCUCAGCUUGCUGGGUGGAUGAGUGGCGAACGGGUGAGUAACACGUGAGUAACCUGCCCUCUUCUUUGGGAUAACGCCCGGAAACGGGUGCUAAUACUGGAUAUUCACUGAUUCUCGCAUGGGGGUUGGUGGAAAGGUUUUUUCUGGUGGGGGAUGGGCUCGCGGCCUAUCAGCUUGUUGGUGGGGUGAUGGCCUACCAAGGCUUUGACGGGUAGCCGGCCUGAGAGGGUGACCGGUCACAUUGGGACUGAGAUACGGCCCAGACUCCUACGGGAGGCAGCAUUGGGGAAUAUUGCACAAUGGGCGAAAGCCUGAUGCAGCGACGCCGCGUGAGGGAUGGAGGCCUUCGGGUUGUAAACCUCUUUCGCUCAUGGUCAAGCCGCAGCUUUGGGUUGUGGUGAGGGUAGUGGGUAAAGAAGCGCCGGCUAACUACGUG